CUGCAUGUCGAGCGGAGCCACUGUAACUGAACCUUCAGGGGACGUUAAGGGCGUCUAGCGGCGGACGGGUGAGUAAUGCCUGGGAAAUUGCCCUGAUGUGGGGGAUAACCAUUGGAAACGAUGGCUAAUACCGCAUAAUAACUUCGGCUCGCACAGGGGGACCUUCGGGCCUCUCGCGUCAGGAUAUGCCCAGGUGGGAUUACCUACUUGGUGAGGUAAGGGCUCACCAAGGCAACAAUCCCUAGCUGGUCUGAGAAGAUGAUCACCCACACUGGACCUGAGACACGGUCCAGACUCCUACUGUAGGCAGCGAUGGGGAAUAUUGCACAAUGGGCGCACGCCUGAUGCAACCGUGCCCCGUGCAUGAACAACGCCUUCGGGUUGUAAAGUACUUUCAGCAGUGAGGAAGGUGGUGUCAUUAAUACCGGCUUCACUUGACGUUAGCUGCAUAAGAAGCCCCGGCUAACUCCGUGCCAGCCACCGCGGUAAUACGGAGGGUGCGAGCGUUAAUCGGAAUUACUGGGCGUAUUGCGCAUGCAGGUGGUUCGUUAAGUCAGAUGUGAAACCCCGGGGCUCAACCUCGGAAUAGCAUUUGAAACUGGCGGACUAGAGUACUGUAGAGGGGGGUAAAAUCGCAGGUUUAGGGGUGAACAUGCGUGGAGA
RNAcentral lists this ribosomal RNA (663 nucleotides) under uncultured Vibrionaceae bacterium. RNAcentral's name for it is "bacterial SSU rRNA". It matches the Rfam family "Bacterial small subunit ribosomal RNA", at positions 55 to 696 of the family's 1533-position model. The record is from RNAcentral. Lineage: Bacteria; Pseudomonadati; Pseudomonadota; Gammaproteobacteria; Vibrionales; Vibrionaceae.